Long non-coding RNA from Zingiber officinale, 1802 nucleotides. RefSeq lists it as uncharacterized. The transcript is spliced from 4 exons. NCBI's taxonomy places the organism in Eukaryota, Viridiplantae, Streptophyta, Magnoliopsida, Zingiberales, Zingiberaceae. The record is from RefSeq and is a predicted model, not a curated record.
UUGGCACCCACCUUUCUCCCAACCCACUAAGAAACCUAAUCCUUCUCAACCUUCACGCACGCAAUCAUUUUUUUUUCUCGGCUUCCUGACACAAAACAACCAACGCAUCGACGCCACUCCUCUCUUCUCCACCUCUUCCUCACGGUCGGCGGUCCACCUCCUUUUCACCGUCGUCGGUCGGUCACCAUCUCCUUCCCUCUUCGAUUCACACCGCAGCCAAGGAACUCUUCAUCCACGUCACCCUUCGUGAUUUUCUGCCCUGACACCAUCACUUCCAUUGUCGGCUUCUCACGCUUCGAACGUCGAACACUGCUCUGCUCUCUAUCGCACACCACGAAGGCCGGCGGUGCCACCCUCACCUUCCUCGUCACCGUCGGUCGACUGCCACCUCUCCACUCUAUCUCUAUCCUCCACCACAUUCCCUCGCCCCCAAUCUGCUGUCGGUGCUUCAUCUCCGCCAUGCCCAAAAUCAGUCGUCGCCCUUCCUCUCCUCUUCGGGUUAGAAGUGGAGCUUCUCCCAUCAUCCAUGUGACUCUGUCCACCUCUGCUGUUAGUUUUCACCCAUCAGGCCGACCAUCUCCUUCUUUGGGCUAGAAGAAGAGAUUCGACCGCCCUUCCUCCCAGCAGUAGCCCUUCUUCGCAUUCCAACAGUUCUUCCUUCCUUCAUCCUCUGGGCAGCAUCUUUCUUCCAACCUGUGGUUGAUCUUCAUGUGUCAGUUGGGUUGAUUUAGUUAUACAUCGUUUAUGUCUGUGGAUUGUUAUUGUUGAAUGUUAAGUGCUUGUAUUAAUUUGACCUCCUAUGUUUCAAUUCCCACACAUUAUGGUUUCAUUGACUCAUGCCCACCAAGUGUUUGAUUAAAUGUCUUUUCCAUUAGAUAGGUUUUAGUUGAUGCAAUUUCUUUAAUUUAAUUCCAUGUAAUGCUUGUUAGUUUAGUGAUUUUGUUUCCACGAUGCUUGUCCUUCAUUUGGAUGUCAUUAGGUUAGACUAGUUUCCACUUCCAUCGAUCCUAAAUAACCUUCUAGUUCACUUGUUCUUAGACUCUGAGAUCAAUGGAAUGGAAAAGCUAUAAGUUCCUGGUUUUUUUGGGUGCACUUCCACUGGUCCUGAAUAACCUCAACUGUUGUGCUAUCCCCUAAAAGUGUUAACUUUGAAGUGCAAGCUCUGAUGGGCUUCAAAGCAUAUAGAGGAUCCACAUAAUGUUCUGGAGAACUGGGACUAGAUCUCUGUUGAUCCGUGUAGUUGGACCAUGAUCACUUGCUCAUCUCAAAACCUGAAUGGAUUUGCAUUGUUCCUGGAGUCAGUUUUGGGUGACAGAACUUUGACUGGGUCUGAAUCUCAACAUUGUGAAUCUAUAAACACCUACAUAGAGCAGAUACUAAUUAUUCCAGUCAGACCUUGUCAUGUGGACUAUAGAAACAAUCUUACAUGUCAUCAGCAAGAUAUUUUGAAGGUGAAUGGAUGUAUUAAAAAACUCUAGCUAAAUAGCUCGGGUACGAAUGAUUAUAGGAGCAACAACUACAUGCUAUGUGGUACUGCAUCCGAGCCUCAGGGGUGUGACUGGGAAGUACUUUAAUGAAGAACUAUAAGAAGGGUUUGGGAUUUAAGCGAGAAGAUGGCUAAAGCAAUGAGUAAAGAACAUUCAAGUCAAGAGGAUAAGUAUCAUCUAUCAAGAUCCUUUAAGUUCAUGCAAUAAGAUGUAGUUGAUAGGAGUAGUUUUGAGUAUCUCCUAAUUAAAAUUUCUUUGUAUGCGAGUAAUUAUGUUUGUUAUAGAAGUGUAAGGAUGAUAAUUUGUAUAUUUAUC